Molecule: ribosomal RNA, 440 nt
Filed under: uncultured bacterium
Lineage: Bacteria
Description: partial 16S ribosomal RNA
Rfam family: Bacterial small subunit ribosomal RNA
Source: RNAcentral
CCUACGGGAGGCAGCAGUAGGGAAUAUUGCUCAAUGGGGGAAACCCUGAAGCAGCAACGCCGCGUGGAGGAUGAAGGUUUUCGGAUUGUAAACUCCUUUUGUUAGAGAAGAUAAUGACGGUAUCUAACGAAUAAGCACCGGCUAACUCCGUGCCAGCAGCCGCGGUAAUACGGAGGGUGCAAGCGUUACUCGGAAUCACUGGGCGUAAAGAGCGCGUGGGCGGGAUAGCAAGUCAGAUGUGAAAUCCUAGGGCUUAACCAUAGAACUGCAUUUGAAACUGUUAUUCUAGAGUAUGGGAGAGGUAGGUGGAAUUCUUGGUGUAGGGGUAAAAUCCGUAGAGAUCAAGAGGAAUACUCAUUGCGAAGGCGACCUGCUAGAACAUAACUGACGCUGAUGCGCGAAAGCGUGGGGAGCAAACAGGAUUAGAUACCCCUGUAGUC